CGGUCCAUCGAUCGCGUCGGUGCCCCUUUUGGGGCUUAAAUGGGAACGCGGUGCGGGAGCUUGCUCCCUAAUCCGUGGCUGUCCCUGCAACUGUGAGCGGCGAGCGAGACAUGGACGAUCGUCUACCGGGCGAUCAGCCACUGGAGCAAUCCGGGAAGGCCCAUGCUUCACGCAUUGACCCGCAAGCCAGGAGACCUGCCGCCGCAAAGGUCGCUCU
Molecule: non-coding RNA, 217 nt
Filed under: Sphingobium quisquiliarum
Lineage: Bacteria; Pseudomonadati; Pseudomonadota; Alphaproteobacteria; Sphingomonadales; Sphingobiaceae
Source: RNAcentral